Long non-coding RNA from Entelurus aequoreus (snake pipefish), 347 nucleotides. RefSeq lists it as uncharacterized. The record is from RefSeq and is a predicted model, not a curated record. The transcript has 3 exons. NCBI's taxonomy places the organism in Eukaryota, Metazoa, Chordata, Actinopteri, Syngnathiformes, Syngnathidae.
AGUAUGUUUUCCACGUGUCGGAAGCAGAGGAGGAAUUGAUGUGAUGUUUACUUCAUUUUCAAACUGCCUUCGUCUUCUGCCUCCCACGCCUGGGUGAUGAAGGGGUGGAGAAUUGUCAGCCAUUUGGCCCUGAAAUAGAUUAUUGUGACGUCACACACUGUUGCCAUGGUCCUGCCAGGGUGCACCCAUCCUCACCUGGACUCUGUCUUCUACUACAGACCAUCCUCACCUGGACUCUGUCUUCUACUACAGACCAUCCUCACCUGGACUCUGUCUUCUACUACAGACCAUCCUCACCUGGACUCUGUCUUCUACUACAGACCAUCCUCACCUGGACUCUGUCUUCU